CAGCAAGGAGCCCAGCGCGGGGCUUGAUCCCACAACUAUGAGAUCAUGACAUGAGCCUAAGUCAAGAGUUGGACACUCAACUGACUGAGCCACCCUGGUACUCCUGAAAACCUUUUCUUGAAGACUGAUGACCUAAUCCUAGCAGGCUCAGCAAAUCAUUGCACGUUUUGUUUGAGGUCUUUUUGUAGCUUUAAAUCCGUUAUUUCUCAGGACAUUUCACUGGCUUUGUAUGGAAUUUUAGGCAGUGUACCUGUUAUGGUCAUUUUCCAAAUCAGCUUAUUGAGGAAAUUGUGAAACUGGGUAAGUUUUUUGUUUUUUGGGUUUUUUUUUAAGAUUUUAUUUUUAAGUAAUUUCUGUACCUGACGUGGGGCUCAGACUCAAAUUCCUAAGAUUGAGUCGCAUGCUCUACUGACUGAGCCAGCCAGGUACCCCUAAACUGGGUAAGGUGAUGAGACUUGUGGGUCAUCCGGACCCACAGGCCUGAGAGGGCAAGCUUGCAGUCUCAGCUAAAUACCGCAGCCAGCAAGUAAGGAGAUGGAUAACGGAGAAGAGACUUGGCAGCCACUCUCCCAGUCCUCUAGUAUUGUCAGCAAGGUCAUUUUGUUUCUUAAAUUUAUUGAAGUAAUCUCUACACUCAACGUGGGGCUCGAAAUCACAACCCCGAGAUCAAGAGCCGCAUACUCUUCUGACUGAGCCCGCCACGUGCCCCAGCGGGGUUAUAUUUUUGGAGUAGAUGGUUCUAAUUUACUUUAGAAAUCCCUUAAUAUACUUAAGAUUCAUUUUUUGUUGUUGUUAGGAGAAAAGUAGAGUUGAUUAGAUAGAAUAAUCAUAAAUCCAUGUGGCUGCCUGCUUUGGAAGGAAAUUUUGGAGAGCCCACCAAGUAUUACUUUGUCGGAAGCAUCGCCAGCAGGUGGCAGCAGUUUCCAUGUUCUAAAAAUGCAGUACGUGAUUAAGAGAGGAGCAGUAUUUUAUUUUGCUACAGAAACAGGCUUAUUUCUGGGAUUUUCAUUUUCCUCAUUGUGUUUGAUUGUAGUCUGCUAUCCACACGGGGAGGUAGAAUGGCAACUUAACGACAUCAGCAAGGCAGGAGCAGCAGUAUUAUCCAAACUGUGAGGCCACUUAAAACUAUACUUGAACCAUAGUUGGCAUCCAGUUGUUACAUAGAAAGUGUCACUUGUGCAUCCCUUGGUAAACAGACUGUUAUAUCUGAAGCUCCUAAGUGUGACGGAUAAGUCAUAACACCGGCACCAUCUGAUACUGGGAAGAAGAGCCAAAUAGUCUGCUCCCUGAACUUUGGCUCAAUGAAAAAAUCAGCCAGCAAACCAGGCUGGGCCUUUGUGGUCAGAGAGCUGGCUUUGAGGAUGUUCUUAACGAAGGUUAAUGCUAAUUAUCCACUUGCAGCAUUCACAGUCCAGUCCUUGCGCAAUGAUUCAGGUCGCCUAAAGAUUUGCCACUCCCAAGGAUUUGCAUACUUCUCUGAGCCACAGGACGCCUCGGAGAGGACUGUACACGCUGAAAACUUAGUGAGAUUCUGAUCCCAAAGUUGUAAAUACUGAGUCAACAUAGUUACUUUUUUCCCUUGCUUGGCUUUUUCCCCCCUUCGCUGAACCAACAAACUAAACUAAUAUUAAUGUCAAUGCAUGGAAAUUUAGAUGAUGAUGCGUGUCUUAUUCCCAUUCCCACUCCAUUUCUUGCAGCCUACUAUGUUCCUAGUAUUCAUUCACUUGCUUACCAAGUAUUUAUUGCACACCUUACGAUGAUGGGCCUUCCUGUUUUCCUAGGUGCUGAGAAUGUAGCAGUGAAUAAAACAGACCUAGAUCUCUCCCCUUAUGCAACUUUAAAUUCUGGUAGAAGGAGACAGACACUAAAGAACUAAUAUGGUUGAUCAGAAGUGAAGUUGGUUGAGGAAAUAAGGAGAUCGGGGAGGCAGAGUGAUGUUGGAAUUUUAAAAAAGUGGAGAAGACUUAUCAUCAAGAUAGCCCUGGGACAAAGGCUUGGCAGUGUGGGAGUGUACCAUGUGGGCACCUAAGAGAAGAGAGUCUGGAUAGAGAGGGCAGCAGAGGCAAGGGCUCUUGGAGUAAGAAGCAUGUUGGAGUGCUCCAGGAACAGCAUGGGAGCCAGUAGGAACCGAAGAGAGAGUAGGAAGAGUUAGGAUAGCAGAGGCUGACUGCUUGAACUUGGGCUUCUGCUCUGAGAUGGGAGCCUUUGGAGGGCUUCGAGCAGAAGUGUGAUAGGGUCUUAGGUUUUAGGAGAGUGUGUGAGCAAGGGUAGAAACAGACCAGUUAGGAGACUACUGCAGUGGGGUGCCUGGGUGGCUUAGUCGGUUAAGCGUCUGACUCUUGAUUUAAACUCAGGUCAUGAUCUCACGGUUUGUGGGUUCGAGCCCCGCAUCAGGCUCUGCGCAGACAGUGUAGAGCCUGCUUGGGAUUGAUUCAUUCAUUCUCUCUCUCUCUCUCUCUCUCCCCCUCUCUCUCUCACUCCACCCCUUCCCUGCCCCACGCCCCCCCCCACUCCUACUCUGCUUGUUCUUUCUCAAUAAACUUAAAAAAAGUACCAAGAAAAUGUUUUAAAAAAAAGAAGGGAGACUAUUGCAGCACUCAGGUGACAAGUGCAGGUGGCUUGGACCGGCAUGUCUGCAGUUGGAAUCUUCUUAAGUGGUCACAUUGUGUACUUACCUUAAAGGUAAAACUUCAAGGAUUCACCGAUAGAUUGGAUAUAUAAUAUGAGAAAGUGAGGCGUCAGAAUUGAUUCCUAGCUCUUUUUGUCUCGGGUUGACAAGGGGAAAACUAGGUGGCAGAGAUUUUCUGGUGAAGAUCAGGAACUUAGUUUUGGACAGAGGAGUUUGAGACACCUGGCAGUUAAUUCAAUGGAGAUGUUGGGUAGGCAGUUGGGUAUUCUAGUCUGGAGUUGAAGGGAGAGUCUCUGGCUGAAGAUGGAAAUAUGGGAGUCUGUGUAUAAAUGGUAUGUGAAGCCACGGGACUGGAUGAAAUUACCAAGAGAGUGAGUUACAUGGGGAGAAGAAGUCCAAAGGCUAAGUCUUGGAGCACUCCAGAUGCCAAGAGUUCAGGGCGAUGUGGAGGACCCAUCAGAAUAGACAGUGGCUACUCAGGGGAAAUCCUGGAAGCCAUGUGAAGUUUGAAGGAAGCAGUGGUCAGCUGUCACAUACUGCAAAUAGGUCAAGUAACAGGAGCUCUGAGCAUUGAAUUAGCGACCUACGUAGUCAUUGGUGACUUUGACAAGUGGUGUUUCAAUGGAAGGGAGGGGGAAAUCUGGAGUGUGUUUGAGAAGAAAUGGGGUAGCCUCACAACAAGAAAAAAUGCUAAGCACACUGAAAAUCAGCUUCUCUUUGACCCAUCAAAGAAUAGAGGUCACAGAGCAAGCCACCACAAAAACUAGAGAAAAAAUAUGCAGAAAAUACAGGUCACUUCACCUAAAGGAGAAGCUAGAGCCAGUAAUCAGGAUUGAAGUGAAUUGCUGGGGGCUGAGUGUGGGCUAGCUUGAGAGUUUAAAACUCCUGGGAGUUACUCUAAGGGGUUGCCCACACUUUGGUGGGUUUUACCUCCAGAAGCUUCCCCAGGUUCUCAUUGUGAAGAUGGCAGAAAAUUCUCCUCUUGUAAGGGGGCUGGGGGGUAGUAGCCAUUUCAAAAUACACCCAGAGCUUUUUGUUAACUUGGCAGAAGACUGCCCUCAGGGAAAACUACUUGUCUUCUCUGACCUUGGGGAAGGGCUGUUGGAUAGCGUAAGCCCCUUCCUUCCUUUCUCACAUAAGGAAAAAAAAAAAAAAAAAGGCUAAGAAACUUCUAAAGUUCUCAGCCCAGGACUCUGGCUCAUAAAAAAGACAAAAUAGAUUUACUCAUAAGAUACAGAAGAAUUCUCCCUAGUCCCAUACCAUCAGUAGGACUCCAGUAUUACAAUAGUGGAUUACAGCUUUUGAAGAAGCUGCAACACACCGACUCUAUUUCAAGAAGGAAUUUCUAGGGAAAACCAGAAAGGGAAGACUGAAAACAUGGACACUGAAGGAAAUCAAAACCUCUGACACCUGCAGCAGGCAUCGAACACAGCCUAGCUGUGAGCCAGAUAAACAUAACACCUCACACUAAAGGCCUAUUCACCUCAGUUCCUAUUACCCAAUAUAUAUCAUGUCAAACUUCCAAUAAAAAAUAUACAAGGAUGCUCAGAAGCAGGAAAAAAAAUCUGAUGAGACCAAACAGACACCAGAACCAGACUGAUAUGGCAGAGAUUCUAGAGUUAUCAGACUGGGAAUUUAAAGUAACUAUGGUUAAUAUACUGAGGUCUCUGAUGGAAAAAGUGGACAACAUACAAGAACAGGAGUGACCCAGGAAAGCAGGACAGUUUGAUGCUGCAGGUGAGGGAGAAUCUUGCUGGAAUGAUGCCCUCAAAGAGGCAAGAGAAGGAUUUAGUGCACAAGUGGAGGGACUGAACAAGCAGCGAAUAACAGGAAGAAGGGAAACCAUGAGAGCAGGGCUGGCAGGUGGGUGCGCGUGAUGGUGGAGCUUAUGGACGUUGUCUUGAUUACUUUGAUUUUCAAGGUCACAGCUGAGAGAAAGGCUAGAGGAAGAGUGGUUGGAGGCUUGAGGCCUUAAAAUUAGAGGAGACCGAACAGACUAGGGGAAUAUCGUGUGGUUGCCAGCCGGUGUUAAGGCUCCCUUGAAGCCUGAAUUAUUAUGUUCUGUUUUAUUUAUCAUUCUUGAAUAACUCUGUAUUUUGUUAAAAUAUAUUUUAUUGGAAACGUAUGCAUGUUUCACUAGCAUCUCCUCACAGUAAGGAUUUGGGUUCUCGUGAAUGAGGAAUCAAGUUUACAAAGUUAGAUCUCCUUAGUAGGCCAAUUGGCUAAUCUAUUAUCAUAUAAUAUGCUCCUAUUUCCCCCUGGUUGUUGUUAUGGUCCUUACUCUUGGGAGGUACUAUCAGGCUUAUAGUUCAACCGAAAACAGACACCUUCUAGAUAUCAAAGCACUGAUAGAGAUGGGUUAGAACAGUAUUUGGCCUGCCUUCAGGAAGCUUACAUUUUAGUGGGAAACUAAAUACACAUCAGGCACUAAAAGAGCAGGAAAAGGGGGAAUAGGGAGUGUGGAUUGCUAUUUUAUAUUGGAGGGUAAGGGAUGAUCUCCGAUAAAUGACAUUUGAGCAGAGACCUGAAGGAAGUAAGGAAGUAAGCCAUAGAUGUAUCAGGGAAAUAGUGGGCCUGGCUUUUGUAUCCAUCUCUACUUUAUAAACAGAUUUAAUAGAAGACGUGAUACCCAUUUAUGUCAACAGGCUGCCACUUUUUACUAAAUGCAAUAAAACCUUGAACGCA
Molecule: long non-coding RNA, 5314 nt
Organism: Leopardus geoffroyi (Geoffroy's cat)
Lineage: Eukaryota; Metazoa; Chordata; Mammalia; Carnivora; Felidae
Exons: 2
Source: RefSeq, a predicted model, not a curated record